Plectropomus leopardus (leopard coralgrouper) is the source of this 2533-nucleotide non-coding RNA. The record is from RefSeq and is a predicted model, not a curated record. NCBI's taxonomy places the organism in Eukaryota, Metazoa, Chordata, Actinopteri, Perciformes, Serranidae.
CAUGGCGCGUUGCGUGGUGCUACACUAGCUACGGGGCUAAUGUAAAUAGCAUGUUUAUACGCUACGUUUUACCAAAAAUACGCUCUCUUUUACUCAGCGAGGGUUGUUUUCCGUUUGUUUGCCAGUUUGUUGUAUGUGAGCGUUUACUCUGGGUAGUUAUUCGGGCGUAUCCCCUCCGGGAGCAUUAACAAACUUUAGCUAGCUAGUGGGCUAAUUUAACACCAGUGAACGCUAUUUAUAUCAUUUCAUAUGGCUUUCUAUGAAGUCUACUCUCACCCGGCUUUAAUUCGGUACAAAACGAGUAUUUGCACGAAAGCUACUCUGUUUCUGGUUGCUGUUUUGUGCCUUACCUACAUCCCACCCCUGCUCGUUGCCUACAGGAGCCAAGGUUUUUGGAUAAAAAGAGGUACUUAUGAGGAACAGCCGAUUGUGAGGUUCCAGUACCAGUCUUUGCUGGUGGCAGCAACCAGUACUCAGGGAGACUACGUCGCCUGGAGCACUUUCCCCCAUCUCAACAACAUGCUGGGGACAAACCUCCGGAUCCCUGCUGUCGCUGUAAGAGAAGAGGACCAGAACCAGGAUGGGAAGAUGGACCUCCUGAUUUUUCAGCUGCAGCUACCUCUAAAACCUGACGAACAGGUGUACAGUGUCCAACUGCUGCUCACCUUCAGCUACAAGCUAUUUCGCAUGUCCACAGUGGUGAUGCAGAGCCUGGCUUAUGUACAGCACUCUUCCUCUGUCCCUGGAGCUAAGGUGUUCAUCAGCGGAGACCUGAAGCUACAGCAGAGGACACCGCUGCCUCACCGGGGACUGUACAACAUCUACAAUGUGUCAGUGAUCGAUGGCUCCAGCCCCUUUGCAAGCGCGUAUGACCUUGACAACAUAAUUAGGAGCUACCAGGAAAGAAACUUGACCACAGUACUGUCCUGUCCCAUGCCAGUGUGGACUGUGGGACGAGCGGCAGGCUCUCCCUUUCAGCUUAAUGCUGAAAUCCGGUACCCUUUGGAGGUCAUUAGCUAUCGUCCUGGCUUCUGGGAAACCAUCAAAUUUGCCUGGAUUCAAUAUGUCAGUGUCCUGCUUAUCUUCCUCUGGGUCUUUGAACGCAUUCAGAGAUUUGUUUUUCAGAACCAGGUUCUCACCACCGUACCCAUACCAGUGGGGAAACCUCACCAGUCAUGAUGCAGUGGUUGCUCUUUGACCUCCAGGUACACAAGAACCACCAGGCUGCAUUUUUCAGACUCGCAAACACGGAUACUCUUUGAAAUUGCUUACCUUCCCAGAGCUCCAGCGCCUCGCCACCCGGCCCCCACACCUUUGUGUUCAGUCACGUGCCUCCCUCACCCUCUUGGAUCUCCACCACUCCACGCUUCCCCAGCUCCACCGUUACCUCCAGCCUUACCAGCCCUCACGCUUCACGCGCUUCACCAUACCUCCAGUCAUUCCAGCCUCCUCCACCAUCUCAGUCCCUGUAACCCUUACCCCGACCCCCAUUCCCUCCCUCAACCCUCAAUUAACAUUAAAACCGUUUUUAAUUGAUUUUUCAAGCCCUGUCUGUGUUUGCUCUUCGGUCCUCCUCUUGUUCACGGUGCACCGUACUGCAACAGAACAAUCUGGCCAAGAAUGGACCCAGCGAAUCCAGACUCCAUUAAGGACACCCUUUCAAGCCAAGGAACCCCUUAUUGGCCGCCAUGAUGACAUGAUGCAUGAAGUUAUGGAAACCCUGCAAAAUUUAAAUGGUCACAUCUCCAAUAUCACCACUCAGCUCGCCCAACUAUCCAUCCACUCAGCUGCUUCUAGUGCAGCCAACCCAGUGAAUAACCCACCUGCUUUGGUUAUACCAUCUCCCUUUCCCCACCCUGCAAGAAAGCUCUUUGUUCCUCCACCUGAACUGUGUUGGGGAUUUGGGUUCAUGUGGCCGUAUCUUGCUUCAGUGUUUUUUAGUUUUUGAACAACAGCCCUCUAGUUAUCCUUCUGAUAAAUCUCAGGCAGCAUAUGUGAUGAACUUGUUACAGGAUAAAGCCGCUCGGUGGGCUACCGCAUUGUGGGAGAGGGGUUCCCUGGUUUUGCAUUCUUUCGCGGAUUUUCCUACAGAGCUCCGCAGGGGCUUAUAAUUGAAGAAUUAAAAGAUGGAUUGGCAUCCCGUGAUGAGCCCACAUCACUUGAAAAUUUGAUUUCUCUCGCCAUUGGAAUUGAUAAUUGUCUCAGAGAAAGAAAUAGAGACAGAGUUGGGAGAUCCCGCAGAUCUGCCUCACUUCCCACUCUACAUCCCCCUUCCACAGCUCCUAGUGCCACUCAACCUCCGUCCCAGCUUCAAGUGCCCCCCACUGUCCCGGAGGAACCUAUGCAGUUAGGUCGUGCCUGGCUUACCCCCGCGGAACAUCGACAUCGGUUGGACAAGAACCUGUGCAUCUACUGUGGCCAAGCUUGACACUACUUGGCUAACUGUCUGCCAUUGCUAAAAGGAAAGGCUCAUCGGUAAAGGAGUGCGCACUUGUGAGCCAAACUUCCUCCUCCUCUAGCUCUCCCCCUCGCA